CAGAUACCCCAGGUAGAUGAACAUAACAAACUGUGGAACCCUUUCACAAUUCACAGCACCUAUGAAAACAGAAAUUCCAAGGGAAAACUCUCAUUAAACCAAUGCUUAGAUCAUAAUUAUGUCUUAGACUUCCCAGCAAUAUUCCCAGUGUGGUCUGAUUCAGCUGAGACUAUCUCACUAAGAUGUGCUGGAUACCUCUAUGAGUCUCCUGUGCUACUGUUGAAUGGGUCCAGAUUUGUGGAACAAGCACUCCAUACAACCACGUAGGAAGCAUUUGGAUGAAACCCCAGACAACAUAACUGAAAAUGUCAGGUGAAUGCAUCAGCAUUUCGCAGCUAUCUUCUACUAUGAAGACCUGGUCUGGACAGUUUACAGGAGAGUAUAUUCUCAAGAGUGUUAUCCAGAAUGGAAAAAAAUACAUAUACUGUGUGUGCACUGUCUGGCAAGUCUUCCUCUCUUCCUUAUAACAGCUCUAAGGGCCCCUUUCAAAUCCUGCAGAUUAAUGCCAAAAGAACACUAAUGAGAUGUAUCUAAAGCAAACUACGAAGAAGAACAUAAGAUAGAGGGAAUAGAGAAAGGCACAUCAAAAAGUAGGUUUGUGGCUUCAGAUCUCUGGCUUUCUUGGGUGUCUUUCAGCCGUAAGCUCAAAAUAAAAUUAAUUGCUGGCAUGCAUGUGUUUACUGGGAAAAAAAUGAGCAGAAGAUUUAUGUAUAUGGGGCCAGCCAGUUCACACAUAGUUGAAUUCACAUGUUUCUGAGUAUUCUUUUUCCAAGAGGAGUGAAUCAUUUUGAUAAAUCUUUCACAAAUCUAGCACAAAUUGUUGCCAGUUUAGUUGCUUUUGUAUGCAAAGCUGAGUGAAAAAAAUGGGUCUCUUGAUCUGUAAGAAAUCAGCUAUAUGUUGAUUAUACAGGACAUGGAAAUUCCCCUCAAUCCAGUAAAACUGAUGUCCACAAGAAACCCCUGGAAUUCUCUACACCAGGGUAGGGCCCAAUAGAAAAUGGCUGAAAAUAGGUGGAUGAUCUCAGAGGUCUUUAUCAACCUUAGUGAAUCUAUGAUUCUAUGAUUCUAAAAUAGAAACAGAGUUGAGAAAAUAUAAGAAAGGAAGCCAUUACCCUAAACAGUGACAUGAGUUCACUGCCUAUGAGAUCUAACACAUUUGUGUCACACUGGCUUUAAGUACAGAUCUUCAGCCACUUGGCUCAUGAAUAAUUUCAUCGGAAUGGAAUCCAGGACUUAUACAGAAAAUAAACUUUUCUGAGGAGUAAUGGGUUUGUUUGUGGUACUGCUUUUGGUAUACACAGGGACAAUGAAGAAAUCUCCUGAAUGAUAGUCAUAAAUGGUUUCAAAAGCCUAACAGGGCAGACAGAUUGCUAAUCAGAUUGCAAAGUGUACUGAACAAAAGGAGGGAGAAAUUGUAAAGGCAAACCAGAAGAAAGCUUGAGUGGACUGAAAAGCCUGGAAGGAAGAGAGCAAUGGUUUGAAUUGCAUUUGAAAUGAAAGGGGAAGUGAUUGAUAUAGAAAGAUGUGAAGGGAAGCUGGCCAUGAUGACAUCAAUUAAGCAUUUAUUUCUGUGGAAGUAUUGUCAAAUGGCAUAAUUUAAUGGUGUGCCCUUCUGCUGAGGAGAUAAUUUGAUGCUUGUGUUAGAUGAUAUUUGUUUGUCUGUAUUUUACUAGGAAUGGUUAAUCAUAGCUGAUUUACAAUUAGUUUUAUGAGCCCUUCGCAAGGGGUUGGGUGUUGUAUUUGCAUGUGCUUGUACCUUUCCUGACUAUUCAGGGUUGAGUAAUGCAUAUGCAGUGCAGGAUGGGAUCUAUAUGGAAUGCGAAGGACAUGCAGCAGUAGGAAGUAUGCAGUGUGAGAAGGAACUCAACAGAAGUAACUCCUGUGAAGGAGCACAUGCUAGAACUAGAGUUAUUCUAAUAAUAGAACAAAAACAUAAGAAUAAAUCUAGAAUACAAGCUAUGCCCCUAUGGAUUCAGCCCUUCUUACAUCCCAGCUUCAGUAUCUUUGACAUUAACAUAACGGACAAAAGCGAGCAACCAAAUUUCAUACCUCUGUGCUGCUCUUUGGAAGGAAGCAAUUGUGCUUCUGCACGGAUCUCUGUUGAACAACAGAGGAUU
This is a long non-coding RNA of Gallus gallus (chicken), 2117 nucleotides long. RefSeq lists it as uncharacterized. The transcript has 5 exons. Lineage: Eukaryota; Metazoa; Chordata; Aves; Galliformes; Phasianidae. The record is from RefSeq and is a predicted model, not a curated record.